Molecule: long non-coding RNA, 1706 nt
Organism: Scatophagus argus
Lineage: Eukaryota; Metazoa; Chordata; Actinopteri; Scatophagidae
Exons: 3
Source: RefSeq, a predicted model, not a curated record
UAGGACUUUUGCUUGCCUUGUGGACUUUGCACCUGCUCACUCCUUUGGAUUUAUUUGCCUGUACUGACUUCCUGCCUGCCUACGGAACUCCUGAGUUAAAAACCCAGUGAGGCUGAUCAGCAUGGACAGUUCUGUCGGAGAGGAAACAGGAGAGGAGACAGGAGUGACACAACUGUGGCCUCCUGCUGGGAAAGAGAGCAGGCUAUUACCACCUGGUCAGGCGGGGGCCAGGCUGCCUGUGGAAUACAGAGAGCACUCCUUGACUUUUACAUCAAAAAGACACCUCAGAGAAAGUCCUCAGAGCCGUGGGCACCAUGGAUCUCAGGGGCUGCACCACAUAAGGAGUACAGUCGAAUCGUUGUUUUCAUCUUUCUCUCUGGUCUUUAUUAAUGGUGACAGGAUUAUAAUUCAGCGAGCUGUGCUGAGUUCACUGAUUCUAAUCACACUCGCUUGUUUCAGACAAUGGGAGUGUAUGGUGAGUGGACAUUUCAUAUAGAGAAAGCAGGCUGUGGCGAUUUGAGAAGCCCAUGUUGGGUCAAAAAUUCUUAAAACAUUAACAACAUUAAAUGUUUUCACAGUUUAGCAAUCUCUUUCCUUUGUUCAGCAAUCCAUUCUCUCAGUAUACAGAUUGCUAAACCUUAGGCACAGUUUACAAACCAUGCAAACAGAUUUGUAGAGUGAGAGCACAUAUAAUCCUGUCACCAUUAAUACAUUAACAACCAAUUUUUUUCACCGUACAUUGACUAUACUUCUAAUUAGCAAGGUUUCUAUCCAUAGUUAGUGUCCAUCUUAAACCAAGAUCUAGACAAUCUAUAAAAGAAAAUGAUAAUUCAUGUGUCCAUUUGCUACUAUUAAUGUGUGGCAGGAGUUGGUGGCUUAAAGUGUCCUGACAGAAAGCGGUUUGUACUUUGGUGGGUGCAGUAUAGUUGCUUUCAAGUUGCUUACAAAAUUUGCAGCCAUUGGAGUCCAGUCAUUUAGACAGCAAAAUUGUAAAUGUGAAAAAAUGAUGUUUUGACAUGACAACUUUCACUGGAAUUUCAGGUAGGACAUGAAGCAUAAGGAUGCUUUUCAGUAACACCAAAUUGUUUUAAUUAUUCAACAUAUCAUCACAUUCACCUCCAAUGAGAACUUCACAUGUGAGGUGAAAAUUCACAUGAGCCGAUGCAAAUGAAGACCUUUUUGAUCUGACAGUCAAAAUUGAUGGGUGGAUCCUUAGAUCACUACUCUGGUGUGAUGAGAGAUGAGAGAAAAGAAAUUUGAAUUUCAAAUUUCUAUCUUGUUAGGUGCUGUGUGGCACAGGUAGAUACAGUGGUGCUGAGAGUGGACAGUCAAUAUUAGGUAUAUUCGAUAGAUUGCCAUUUUAAAAACCUUGCUGGAAUCAUUUUUGUUGGAGAACAUUAGGGAAUAUGAUUGUGCAAUACCAACCUCUCAGCGCCUCUCCUUCUCAAUAUCUUAAUACCAUUCCUGUUCAUAUAGCACAACAGGUCAACCUUUCAGACUUUGUGGGCCUUAAGGGCUGAAAAUAUUUUGCAUCUAAAUGUAUUAUUUGUAAUGUUUCAGAGUUCAACAGCAUGCAUAAGCAUAAAAAGGACGGUGUUUAUAUACCAUCGCCUUUAGUGUGUUCUUAUUGAUCAAAGUUGACAGCUACACAUGUUGGAUAAAGAGAAACAUCAUGAUGAUGUAUUUUUGUUGCAUUAUUUAUCAUG